Small nuclear RNA from Otolemur garnettii (small-eared galago), 104 nucleotides. NCBI's taxonomy places the organism in Eukaryota, Metazoa, Chordata, Mammalia, Primates, Galagidae. The record is from Ensembl.
GUGCUCACUUAAGCAGCACAUAUACUAAAAUUGGAACGAUACAGAGAUUAGCAUGGCCCCUGCACACGGAUGACACGCACAUUUGUGAAGCGUGCCAUAUUUUU